Molecule: ribosomal RNA, 253 nt
Filed under: uncultured bacterium
Lineage: Bacteria
Description: partial 16S ribosomal RNA
Rfam family: Bacterial small subunit ribosomal RNA
Source: RNAcentral
UACGGAGGGUGCAAACGUUGCUCGGAAUCAUUGGGCGUAAAGCGCGCGUAGGCGGUUCGGCAAGUCGGGUGUGAAAGCCCUCGGCUCAACCGAGGAAGUGCACUCGAAACUACCGAGCUAGAGUACCGGAGAGGGUGACGGAAUUCCCGGUGUAGAGGUGAAAUUCGUAGAUAUCGGGAGGAACACCAGCGGCGAAGGCGGUCACCUGGACGGAUACUGACGCUGAGGUGCGAAAGCGUGGGGAGCAAACAGG